AUAUCUACUAUCCAGUGACGAUAUUACAGCAAAAUGACCAACGAAGUAGAGUCCACUAUAUAGGAUACUCCCACAAAUUUGAUGAGUGGUUAGAGCGGGAUGCAAUUAAGGAGAGCAGAAGUACAUGUAUGAUAAACAGCUUUCUGCUACAGCAGCUGCAGAUCCAAAUUAAAGACCAGCUGUGCUCAUGUGGAAAGAAAGACACCCAUAAAGUUAUAAGGAUCCCUAUCAACGAGCAAAGUCUAGAGGAUGUUGGGAUGUUAAUAUCAAAGGCAGUAUUACACAAAG
Molecule: long non-coding RNA, 288 nt
Organism: Ylistrum balloti
Lineage: Eukaryota; Metazoa; Mollusca; Bivalvia; Pectinida; Pectinidae
Exons: 3
Source: RefSeq, a predicted model, not a curated record